Centrocercus urophasianus (Greater sage-grouse) is the source of this 7832-nucleotide long non-coding RNA. RefSeq lists it as uncharacterized. NCBI's taxonomy places the organism in Eukaryota, Metazoa, Chordata, Aves, Galliformes, Phasianidae. The transcript has 2 exons. The record is from RefSeq and is a predicted model, not a curated record.
UAUUUUUUUCUAUUUGUCCUUUUUUUCAUUUGAGUACCUACAGAUGAAAAACUGUUUCAGGUAGGCUUAAUCUCUACUCUUUACUGCAGCACUGGGUACACUCAAUAAUGACAACCCUGCUGCGUAGAGAACAGCAAUUCUUUUCUUUCCACACAUAGUUGAUCUAGUGAGAUGUGUGCUACAAGCCACACAGAUUGCCUGCAAAGAAAGAAGCAAAUCUCCUUUAAAAGAACUAUUUCAUAUACAGAUAAUACAGAAAGCUGGAUAACCCCCAGAGUUUUUCCAGCUCUUACAAUGGUGACACAGACUCUAAUGAGCUCUGUAAUUGUAGCUCUCUCCUUCCCAGUCAGCUCCUUUAAAGCCAGCUUUUUGCAGAGAGGAUUUGCACAUCUUCUCUUAUAAACUAGAUAUUUCAAAGAAACAAAUACCAUCGUCCAGCACACCUAAUCUGGGUAAAAGAGAAUUAACUAAAUACAGAUUUGUUCAUUAUUUGUUUAUUUUCAUGUUUAAAUUAUACUUCAGUACCUGACUGCAAAGGAGAUGCUAUUUUGUCAUGGCAGUUCUUCUGGCAGCUUGUUAACCAAGAUGGAUAUUUGGAUGCCUUAAUCAUCCAUUUCAACGUGACGCACGCUGGAUAGCAAUGUGAGACAGCAUGAAAUAUUCUAACAUAUCACUGCUGCAGGAACAGGAGAGGUCCACUUUUCCUCACUUCAGAGCUGCACUCCUGCAGCUGAGCUGCCAUUUCCAACCAUUGCCAUCAUGGUGCCAUCCAAUCCAACAAGAAACUGUCUGUAAAAGAGAAACCUGUCAGGAACUGGAAGCUGCUAAGGGAAAUGUUCCUCAGCAUCAGAGCAAUCCCCACAGAACGGGCAAGGCAAUGUGGAUGGAAGAAUGGCAGGAGGGAAGGGCAGUGAGAGCUCCUAUUUUCUGGUGCAGUUAGGUGUUUGACCAGCUCAGGUGCUCACACAGGUGCAGCAUCAGCUCUUCCACCUUCCUAACUUUUAAACUGACACCGUAAAUGGUAGUUUGCAUCUCUGUAAAACGUAACAAUAGUUUGUUUAUGGAUUUUAACAAAUCUAUUAGGUAAUUUGAAAUGAGUUUCUCAGUGUAUUGAGUGUAAUCUCUUCAGCAGUUACAUUAUUUAUUUUUAUUCAGCUUGAUAAGUAGACUAAUUUUAGAUUCCUCUAAACAUGCUCCAAAACAUCUAUUUGGAUAAGAUGUAUCACUAACGUGCCCUUGCACCAGGAAAACCUUAGUACAUAGUGCAGGAAAAACGAAACACCAAAACAAUGCAUCCAUCAUCAGUAGAGCGUUUCCUAAAUACUCACAGGAAAGAAAGAUAAAGAUGCCUUUUUCCAUGAGUCUGCAUGCUGUCACGUGGUACAACAACAACCACAACAAAAAUGACAACUCAGGGAAAUAGAAUCUUUUAAAUCAUUUUUUCUACCACUAAGAAAGACAUGUACAUCGUUCUUUGUAUUUCUAUAGUUGUAUGUGUAUGAGAGCCCACUGAUCAUGACAGAAAAGUAAAAUCAAAUAAUUCUGCUUUGUUUUCAUAGGGGUGACAUGGUAUCUUUCCUUCUGAGGUAUUCUAGUAUGCUGUGUCAAUUUCUUGAUGCUGAUAAUGGAGAAAGGAAAGGAAAUCAUUUCAUGUGCAAUAUCUAGUAUUCUGGAUAAUCUGUAGCUGCUCAUCUAUUCCAAGAAAUCCUGGAGAAUGCUCCCUUACUUGAGAAUUACUCUAGUAGUCAGGACCUAGCUGGAAUAACUCCCCUGAACUGAGUCUUUACUGCUGACUCUCAAGAGACACAACAAAUCAUCAGAUCUGAAAAAUAAGGAUCUUCUAGAGAGCCCACUGGAGGGCCACAAAGACAGUUAGUGUACUGGAGCACCUCCUGUAUGAAGAACAGCUGAGACCCCUGGCACUGUUCAGCCUGGAGAAGAGAAGGUUGAGGAGGGAAUCUCAUCACUGUUUGUAAAUAUCCAAAGUAGGGGAGUGAAGUGGGUGGACCAAGACACUGAAACAGUGGUGUGCAGCAAUAGAACAAGGGAUAAUGGGCAAAAACUGGAACGGAAUAAGUUCCAUUCAAACAAGGAAGAAGUUUUUUCUUUACCGUCAGAAUUACGGAGCACUGGAACAGGUUGCCUAGAGACACUGGGGAGUCCCUUCUCUGGAUAGUCAAGACCUGUCCAGAUGCCUUCCUGUGAGAUCUACUGUACGAAACCUGAUUUAGCAGUGGACUGGACUAGAUGAUGUCUAUAGGUCCUUUCCAACCCCUACAAUUCUACGAUUCUGUUACUCAGACACAUGAAUUCCUCUUACUGAUACAUUUAAGACUAACUCAAGCGCUGUUCUCAAGUGCUGUUUCUCCAUGUGACUUUAUCAAUUUAUAGAUUUUUCCGUUAACUUACUUCACUCUCACUGCAAGAAAUAUAACCAACUUUUCCAGAGUUUGCAUUAUUUUUUCCCUUGUAUAUUUUCCUUGCUCAUUCAAGCGUAACUACUUUAAAAGUUCUCGUCUGUUAAUGUGAAGGCCUUCACUUCAGACAAUGUAAGUAUUGUUUACUAUCUACUUCAUGCUAUCUACUUCUUUUAGUUUCCACAGGAUUUUCUUGGUUAAUGGUAACAAUUGCAUUAUUUUCUUUAAAACAGUACCCUAAAUAAAUCUUUUCCAAUAGCAUAGUGGAAAUGCUAAGUCAUGGCUUGAACCAGUGAUGGAGCACCUGGGCUCCCCAGGUGCACGUAAUGCCCCUGAAUGACCAGAAGGGGUGGAGCCAGGAUCCCUUCCCAGACCUCAUUUAAGGGCUGGCAGUGGAGGCAAGAGUAUUUUUCUGGAGACUCUUGUGUGCUUGAGGCCUUCUGAAGAAACUUCUGUUCAAGACUGUGCUAGUACCUGAACCAAAGCAACAUCCUCCAUCUUGGAAACUUGAGCACAUUGGUGGCAACAAGCAAUACAGUGACAGACACACAAAAUCUCUACAAAGCAAAUAGCCCUCAAUAGAAAGAGAAAAGGUUUACCAGAGUGAAACUAAUUACUUAUGACACACAUCUAAGAGCUAAACAUGUUUCAGCAGUGAUGAAGACAACCACUAUGAAGCAAUAAACUUCAAAAACUGGAUUUCUUGAGGAUGUAUUCCACCUGUUCAUAACUAAAUCCUAGUAAGUCUCUUACUCAGCAUGCUGCCUGAAGACAGAUGAUGGCUGUCUAAUUAAAGAAACACAUGGAGAAACGUAAAUGUGUCUUUAGAAAUUUAGCUUCAAAAGAUAAUGAUGUUAACUGACAGUACAAUGCCCCAGUACGUACGAGGGUCAAACAAGUAUGACAGCUUCCUUCUGGUAUGAGCUGAGCCAAUCAUGUAACUCUAAAGCAUUUAAGUAGAAUGUUCUUAGAUUCAAAUAAAUAAAGAUAAAAAAGACUUAACAUUUAAAACAAGAAAAGAGAGAAAUAGAUUAAAUUACCACAGAAAGCUGAAUGCAAAUGGCUAGUGAGGGAAUUUAAAAUUAUGUAAAACUUAAGGAAAAAAAAACCACAAAACAUAGGAUAAAAAAGUUUGCUAAAGAAACAUUUUCCGAAAGAAACCAAAGAAAGCAAAGAAAAACUGUGGAUCGUCUGAAACAAGUCUGACCCAAAGUUCCCUCUAUUUAAUGGACUCUACUAAGGGUGGAAAGACUUUCUUGACCUCAUAGCAAAUUCAAAUGAAUAAUUCUAGGCAUGCAGCAACAGGAACACGUACAGCAACAUGUAUUGUUAUUCCACAAUCCUAGGGCCAGACAAGUCACUGUGCGUAAGAAUCCAAUCUUCCUCAUCCUUUCCUAGAAGACAUCAGUAUGAGUUAGAGUCAUUAGUUCUAUCUCAGAACUGAAAUCUGGAGAUUCUAGGCCAUGCAUUUUUAUUGAUAAAAAUUAUAACACUAAUUGUGAUACAGAACUAAAGGUGAACUGUGACAGUGACUUGUAUCACCAGUCAAAGCAGAAUUUAACCUAGAAAUACACAAUACUAUGGCAGUGGAAAACUAGUAAUAAAUUUAAGUGCAAAAAAUCAUAUAAUACAAAGAGAAAUUAAGGGACACAAAAGCAUUCUGGGAAAAGUAAAAAGUUUUCAAAUUUAUGUUAUGCGAGUGAAGUUUUAAGGAUUCUGGUGAUAAAACUAAAUCAGGAGUUUUGCAAACACAAGGAUUAGCAAGAUCGGGAUUCCCACUGAUUUUUACCUCAGCUGACCACAGAACUGAAUUGGAGUUUCUCCUGCUCUUUACUUCAUCUCUCCUGCACCCCAGGUUGUUCUCUCUUAUAUGAUACCACAGAAGUUCUCAUGCAGAACACAACUGUAGGCAUCAUCUUUUUCUCCUAUCCCCAUUUUCAUAAUAUCACGAAAAGUGUAAUGACCUUAGAGACAGGUUAUGCCUGUAAGUUUUUCUGAACAAGGCCAGUAGGUUCUGAAUAUGCUAGAUGGGGAGAGUCAACAAGACAAGACUGCAUAAAUACGUUUUCCUGAGAAAUAAGGCUAGCAAGAACAGAAAUGGGGAUAGACUGUUUUUUUGUGCUCAUUUAUAUUAGGUGAGCUGUUUAUUUUCAAGCUUGUACAGGUCUGAGAUGUUGGUAUUAUCCCAUUAUUGGGAUUUCUUAAUAUGUUUUUAUAUAUCAUCAUCCAAUAAACAAUAAGAUCUAUUUAUUUAGGCAGUGAGUCUGAACACACUGUUAUUAGUCCAAGUUUCUGGCAGGAUCUUUUCCCCGAGGUUAAAUGGCUCCUUUCCAAACUAUACUUUGGCAGAGAUUUUGGCUGUUCUUAGACUCAUGGUGUUUCCCUCUUGUUGUAUUCCUAAGUGAUUACACAACAAUAAAAUCUUGACAACUAAUGUUUUGAAUUUCAGAUAAAUUAUUUAAAUAGUGAUUAUACCAUUAUGAAGUCAUUUAAAUUUUGCUCCUUUAUACUGCAUUAUCAAUCAACUAGUGUGUCAGAGAUAUCGAGGCUUUACAUUGUCACAACAGAUACUCUAUAAAUUCUGAGUGUGAAGGUUUCCUACAGUAUGAGUGUAUGUGUGUUAUAAUAGCUGUUCUUACCAUAAAUAAUAGCUGAGAUUAUAGUAAUUGCUUCAGGGUUUUUUUUUUAGUUUAUUUGCAAAGGCUAGCAUAAUGUAAUAUCUAAAACCAGCUGAGCUGUCUCAGUACAAGCUGAGGCAAGACAAGCUGAAGUUUUAUUUAUAGUAACUUAAUAGCAAAUUCAAGAAGUAAUUCUAGGUAACAAAGGCGAUAAAGAAUUGUAUUUCAGUUCCAUGGUUCCAAGGAAAUUUGUUUAAAUUAGCUGCUCUUCCCCCAGGUGCAACUGUGCAAGACUGAAGCAGUUAAAAGAUACUGUGUUUGGAGGUCAAGCCUGAAUAUAGUUACAAACAUUUAAAAUUAUUUCUGACUGUUCUAAAUUAGAGACAUACUACAUACAUAACUAAUAAAUAUGAAGCUUGCCUGCUAUUAGGCCUAUGUACUUGAAUACAGAGACAGAACAAGGGGUUUGGAAUGCCUGAACUCUUAGUCAUUAAAGUAAACAGGGGACGCAUUCAAAACUCAGUUCAUUUGUCAACCUGGCAGCAGCUGAAAGAUUUCUGCAUAUGAAAUACAGGAUCAUCUGGCUAUCAAGAAUGUUUAAGACCUUACCUAUUGAUCUCUUUCAUCUGCUUAAAUAAUUCAAAAUGUUAACAUGCCUAAAAAAUUCUGAUUAAAGUUUUUGUGCAUAUAAACCUCAAAACAGUAAGGAGAAGAUGAUACUAAUGCUACUAAACAAAAUCAGCAUCAGACAUCCCAAAUAACUGACUGAAAACCUGGAAAGAACAGAAAUUUGACUGCUGGGGGAGAUGUGGGGAAAGGGGAGGAUGGAAAGAGGGAGGGAGAAUUGUGUACAUUUUAUGCCUUUGUAGAGAAAGACUUCAAAGAAAAAACUAUUGAAAAGUAAGAAACUAGAAAAAGAUGGAAAAAUUAUUAAUGAUUCUAGUAGAUGCUUAAAAACAAAAAGAUCAAUACAAUAUUAUUUAUGACUGCAAGCUAGGUAUAACUUCUGUACCAAGGAUUUACAGUCUCUGCAAAACUCAGGUUUUGUAUACUAAAUCUCUGAAGUAGAUUCAUAAAGUUGGAAACUGGAGGGCUUCACAAAUACAAUAAUAUAUUAGUAAUGUACUCUUUACAAUUUACUUUUAAUAGAAACAUACAUACAUUUAUAAGAAUAAAGCUGCAUCUAAAGCACAUUCUAGUUUUGGGUCCCUUGCUAAGAGAAGAAGAGAGGAGAACUAACAAGAGAGAUUUUACUUGAGGACGACUAAAGUAGUUACAGGUAUAUUGAGGAAGACUAAGGGAGUUAAAGACAAGGGGAAGCUGAGGGCACCAUGCUUGUUAUGCCUGCAAAAGAGAAGUAACUGCAGCCUUUCCCAAUAACUAGAAUAGAGUUAUAGAAAAUGUGGAACCAGACUCUUCUCUGAGGCUCAUAACUAAAGAACAAGAAGCAAUGUGAUUCACAGAUCCCUUCAAACUUAUAUUUGUCCAUGGAUGCAUUUCAUCUUGUCCAAAGUUUCAAAAUUCAUUAAAUCACAUAACUUGUUUGUCAAGCUACACAGAAGAGACUAUCAGGAGAAGGAUGCAGCUUUGAAGAGCUAUUUGAUAAACAAAACAAAAGAUUUUUCUUACAUCAGGAAAGCACGUGAAGUCAUUCAAUUUUACUGAAGCAUGCUACUUUGAAAAAGAAGCAAUUCUGCUGAGAGAAGCUGAAGAUUACUUUAAAGUCUAUGAAAAUAAAUAACAGCUAAAUUUUGAAACAGUUGAAAAGGGGAAGAACAACUUAUUGUUUAUUUCUCAUGUGUAAUAGUAUGUGAUAAACUCUAAGUUUGAUAUAAGUACAUUUUGAUCCAAAUAAUUUUUCAUUUAAGUCAUUAUUCUUGUAUUUUUGUCUUUUGAGAUUGUCCAGAUCUGUUUCCAUGGCCAUGCAGAGAAACAUAAAUACUGAUACUACUAAAGUUUACACCAACCUAUAUUGUUAAGCUAAGGAGGCAAUUAAUAGAAGAUAAAUACCUUAUCUUACUUUUCUUUAUUCAUUUUUAAGAGAAAAAGAUGAAAAUCAAGUCACCAACACCUACUUCUGUUCUUUGAUUAAAAUCCAACAGCAAGGAUGCUAUCUUUAUCCUAUGCCUUUCCAUCUUUUUUCAGUUCUAGCACUGAAAUGUUACAGCUUGAAAAUGAGAUGUAAAUAGAAAUAGCAAUUAUUCUAUGUCAAGAACAAAGAGAUGACAUUUAAGGAGAAUCUGUUCACACCAGAAGCCAGACUAAAUUAAGUCUUGACCUAUACCACUGUGAUGCUAUCAGAAUCUGGCUCCAUGCCAGUAAGUCUUAAUAAUGCCUCAGCAAUCUAAGCUGAGCUAUAAAUAAAAUUAACUUACAUAUAGAAAAGAAGGAAAGCAACAUACAGUUGUUAAAAACCAUUUUAAGUUAACAGAAAAGUAAUAAAACAUUAUUUUAGUAGAUGAAGCAACUAGUGUAAUCAAGACUGACUAAUACAAAACUUUAAUAUACGCCACUAAUAAAGAAGAGAUUCCCAAUCAAAGCUCUAAUUCUACCUAGGCUUUUAAAGGUCACUCAGGUGUCAUCUCCACAAUGACUUGAUUCAUCUGGGGGUUGUGCCUGUGUGCAAAGUGGGAAGUGAGAGAAUGAUUAUCUUGUUGUUCGUUCUGUCUGCCUUUUUUUUCUGAGAAACAUUUAAGGGAUGCUUUGAAUCAUUUGUCUUUUUAUAUAAUAAUAAUAUUAUUUUUGAAAUAAUUUGAAAAAAAAUCUGCAACUAGAAUAUAGAAUUUUAGACAACAUA